This is a long non-coding RNA of Mustela erminea (ermine), 343 nucleotides long. RefSeq lists it as uncharacterized. The record is from RefSeq and is a predicted model, not a curated record. Lineage: Eukaryota; Metazoa; Chordata; Mammalia; Carnivora; Mustelidae. The transcript has 2 exons.
AGAAGAAGAAGAAGAAGGAGAAGGAGAAGGAGAAGGAGAAGAAGAAGAAGGGGAAAAGAAAAGGCUCAGGCUGACAAUUUUGUGGAAAUUCGGGUUUUUGAGACAGAAUUUGUAUGAGAGUAUGGCUUUGGAGAAAGACCGGCAAGGAAGGAAUUUACGGAGCUUUGACUACAGUUAUCAAAUCUUAUUACCAAAGACUUAAAUUUCACUUGGUUUGGACCAGGUGAGAGCGAUGGGCUUAAGUAGGGGGUCCCCUUCGACUUUCCUCCAUCCCGUUUCACAGGAAUAUUGUCUCUCUGACAGAACUCAGUAGCAUCACACUCCACAGGUUAAAGAAAAAAAA